RNAcentral lists this long non-coding RNA (1263 nucleotides) under Vombatus ursinus (common wombat). RNAcentral's name for it is "lncRNA (ENSVURG00010017633.1)". Lineage: Eukaryota; Metazoa; Chordata; Mammalia; Diprotodontia; Vombatidae. The record is from RNAcentral.
CAGCGAAAGAGGGCUUUGGCUAUCAUUACUUUUCAUCCUUGAAGUCUCCAGCAAAGUCUCAUUCCCCUGCAGGCCUUGCCCCUUCCAUUUCCUUCUCACCUGUCCUCUUUUUCACCCUCUUCUCUUUGCUCUUCAUGCUUGCUGUCCCCCAGGACUCUGAGGAGGAAGUCCAGUAGGGUCAAAGGCUUCUCACCAGGCCUCUCACCAGCCCCUCAUCUGGCCCUGUACACCUGUAACACCCCUGAAUCCUCCUCAGGGUACUUCUCUGAGGAUGACUCUGCAGGUAGGCAUCACUUCUUCUGCCCUGGAGGCCCAUUCCCCAGGCACUGCCCCACUUCCUUCAAAGGGUGCCCCAUAGCUGGGGGUGGAGCAAGUAUCUCUCAGACAAGAGGAAGAGAGAACUCAGCAGUCUGGCUCCAGUUGGGGGAUUGAAGGGUGGAGGGGGGGCUCAGGCCUCAGACAUGGUUGUCUCUCCUUCUGGGUGGAUGCUCAUUUCUUCCCUUCCCUGCAGGGCACUCCGUUAUCCACCAGCCUGGCUCUGCAUCCACCUCCAAUAAUGGUGCCUCCCAAGUUGGCAUCUUUAACUGGAUGGCAAUAUACAUUUCAGGUGGGUUGUACCGGGGGGUGGCCACAGUGCCCAGGGGAGUGGUGCUUCGCUGUACCGAGAAGAGUUUCUUCAUGCCUAUGCAGGGCCAAGCUGGGCCAGGGUGGAGUAACUUGAGGACUCUAUGGGGAGAUGGGCUUAUUAUGGAAGGAUCCCCAAGCACAGCUGAAGAGCUCUGGGAGGAUGGAAGAGCAGAAUAGCCAGAAGCAGCUGCAGAGUUGGCAUGCUGGGAGACGACUAGAUCUGGGAAAGGAUGGGCUGGCAGGGGCACGCCUUUGAAUCCCUCUGCUGGAACCUUUACAGGUUGGCUCUUUGCAGCAUUCCAGUGGUGCCUGGGAAACGCCUGGCACUGCCUGACCACAGCUGCCUCCCUCCAGGAUUUCUUUCUGUUAAUCAGGAGCUUUUUCACUCGGAAGAAGUUGCUCCUCUUUGUCUUGGGGAUGCUGUUCUUUGUGGCUUCGCUGGCUUAUGGUGCUUGGUGUUUCUACCCCUAUGGACUACAGACCUUCCACCCUGCUAUGCUCUCCUGGUGGACAGCCCGUGGUAGCAGCAGGAGAGAGGACAGGUGGGAACCAGCACAGUCCCCCUCAUAUUUCCAGGUGAGCUUACCUGGUCUGUGCUGGCUCCUUCUGGCGCCUGCAGCUCAGUGAAGCACAGUU